GCCGAUCAGUUUCUCUGAAGUGAAUUGAUGGUAAAUGCAAGACGUGUGUGUGGGAAUAUUGGAAAAAUUGCCUUCAACUCCUUAGUUCUUGUUCAUCUCAUCUAACCCUAAGAUAACAAACGACUUUGUGGAAAUUACACCCAACCAUAUCUUUCAUUAUCCAAUUUUAGAAAUCAGAUCUGAAGUUUGUUUAUACAAAAAUCAAAUAUUAAAUCAAUAUUGAUAAUAAAAUUAAUUCCCAAUGACCCUAUGUUCCUUGACGGUCCCAUCUAACUCCCUACAUCUCUCUACCUCUUGUCAGCAUGACAACUGCAAGCAAGCGAGGGACUAGUUGCUUUGUUGCGGUGCCUGGUUGCUAUGAACUCACAAUGAGAGGGCUUCUAACUCCUUAUUUGUGAGUGGCGCUGAGCGGGAUUUUUGUGGCUUUCGGUGAGGGGCGCGUCUACGGCAACAUUCUGGCUUUGGAUUUG
This 470-nucleotide long non-coding RNA is filed under the name Olea europaea (common olive). RNAcentral's name for it is "long non-coding RNA (OEUR_LNC007404)". Lineage: Eukaryota; Viridiplantae; Streptophyta; Magnoliopsida; Lamiales; Oleaceae. The record is from RNAcentral.